Molecule: long non-coding RNA, 1453 nt
Organism: Triticum aestivum (bread wheat)
Lineage: Eukaryota; Viridiplantae; Streptophyta; Magnoliopsida; Poales; Poaceae
Exons: 3
Source: RefSeq, a predicted model, not a curated record
CCCGCCCUGUCGCCAGCCCUCCUCCACCCCGUCGCCGGCCCUUCCCCUCGUCCACGGCCCGUCCCGUCGAGGUCCAGGUCCGCGACGGAUCCGCCUAUGCCAGUGUCUUCCACACCACCUCCCUCGAUGCUGGAUACGCGUUGGACAUGCAUAUAAGAAGAGGAUGAAGUCAAUAAUUAUGAGCUGAAGGUCAGAUAUAGUUGAUCUGUCAAGAUGUGGAAAGCAUAGCCACACUGGCCAUCUUUCUUAUAGACCGACCAGUUGCGCCUCCCCGCCGGUCGCCGCCUGCCACCCCAAGGAUCAAGGCCGGCCGCGCCAGUCCCCGUCGGUCACUGCUCCGGAUCCAGGCCGCCCACCGCCCCGCCCCCAUUAGCCCGGUCUAUUUCCCACCGGAUCCCAUCUUCGCCGCCGUCCGAUGCGCCUUCUUCAAGGAGCUGCGACCCCAUGUCUUAGAGGAGCUAGCCCCGAUGCCAUUGAUGCUCGAGCGAUGCUCCCAAGCUAGGAGCGGCACCAGGACGACCACGUCCCCGAAGCCUAAACUGCAAGGUGAGCUCGUCCCCUUCUCUUCUUCCCUAUGGAUCAGUGUCCUGGCUCAUGUUCUCUGUUCUAUACAUGUGUGCAGUUUAUUUUCAGAGUACUUGUUGUGUGCAGAAUCCUACCCUGGCGCAUGUUAUUGGUUGUUUAAUUCUGGAAUCACAAGUUAAUGCAUUUUGCUAUGUGGGUACUGCAAUCUUAUAUGGGCAACAAGUUCAAUAUGGUUUUUAGAAAAGGAAAGUCCAAUCUGGUUUUUAGAAAAGGCAAGUCCAAUCUGGCCACGUAGCUAGGCAAAUACAAUUUGCAAUUCCUGCCUUGCCGUGACAAGCUUGAUUUGGUAUGGUAGAAAAAUAGAACUCCUAAUAUCUCACCCUCCCCUGAGGAUUCUGUGCCACUCCACGCCGGCAAGGCUUAUAGCUACUCUUUCAGCUCAUGUUCUGCUAUGUCUAAAUGUAUAUGGAAAUUUUCUCUCCCCCUGUACCUUAAAGAGCAUAUUGGGCCAGGGAUUCGUUUGAACAGGCUGUGAUUGGGUAUUGACGUUAUUCAUAUUUUCUAAAAGCCGGCAGUUCUGUCCUAUAAUUUGUACUGCAUAUAAUUAAGUUAGGCUUGAGCAACAGUUUUUCCAUAUUUACAAUUUAAUUAGGUGUAUGCAAAAAUAUGAAAUGGUGUUAUUAAGGCAGAGGAACCGUAUGUAGGACAUAUUUGUGAUAAGAAAAAUCAAACAUAUUUUAGCUCCGAAAUGACUUCAUAUGCUUAGCUAGCUCUAAAAUGACAUAAUAAACUUAUUAGUUCCAAAAUGACCUUACUUAGUAUUUUUUACACCAAAAUGACUUAGUAUGCUUAGUUAGCUAAAAAAUGACAUAAUAACCAUACUUAGCUCCAAAAUGACCUAUUUUACAGAUAUAAGUUGCAUCAUAAU